AAAAAUACCAUGUCCAGUGUUGUAUAUUUACAUGGAAAUUUUGUAGGAAUAUCCGUUCUAAUAAAAAAUUACUUAGAGCACUCACUACGAGUUACAUUAGCCUACCCCAACUUGUUUGGAACUAAAGGCUUUGUUGUUGUUCUUGUUGUUGUACUGACUACGAGUUACAUGAAAGUCGGUGCAUGCCCUUUUAAAUAACUCACCACCAAGUCCUAAUCAGCAAUGGAGUUUAUUCCUUCCAACCAAAGAAGUGGUUUAUGAUCUGAAAAAUAGAACCAUAAACAUUUAGUGAAGAGUAACCUAAAGUAGUAGCGAAUGACAAGAGCAUCCAUAUGUCCGAAUAUAUGUGCAACACUACAUGAACUGUAAAUCAUAGAUAUAUGAACAUCAUGGUUUCCACUUUCCAAAAAAAAAAAUCAAACACAAAUUCAACCUGAUUAGUACAGGCCGAGGUCUUUCAUUUUUUCUUGAAUUUAUCUUACCUAUUUUUAUGUUCACUAAUCAUCUCAGAUCUAUUGGAACAACAUACAUUACUGGAUUGUGUUCGUCUCCAAUAUAGUUACAGUGGAACAAUCAUAAGCACUCAUCUGAUGGGAAAUAAGCCAAGCUUGAGAGGCAUGAGACAUAUUUUACAUAUUGGGAAAAGCUUAGCUGAUCACAAGGCACAUCUGAUACUUGCAAGUGGCACUACCUCACUGUAAAAUGCUACAAAUAGGCAUAUGCCAAUAUGCAUUGGUUUACCGAAGAAAAUCUAAAAAUGCUUAGUUUUAUUGUAUUCAACAUAUUUUUUCAAACCCUUAAAAUACUCCAUCGAUAAUUAUUAUGAUCAACUAUAUUUAUGAUGAUCAUUCUAAAAUACAUUUAAGAAUUUUCUAGAACUAACGUAUUAUAUAAAUUUGAGAGCAACAUCUUAAUGAUGGAAUUACCAAGAAGGCGUGUACUACGUUGAGCAUCAUCUUAAC
This 962-nucleotide long non-coding RNA is filed under the name Hordeum vulgare. Its description in RNAcentral is "long non-coding RNA (HVUL_LNC001978)". Lineage: Eukaryota; Viridiplantae; Streptophyta; Magnoliopsida; Poales; Poaceae. The record is from RNAcentral.